RNAcentral lists this ribosomal RNA (253 nucleotides) under uncultured bacterium. Its description in RNAcentral is "partial 16S ribosomal RNA". It matches the Rfam family "Bacterial small subunit ribosomal RNA", at positions 524 to 776 of the family's 1533-position model. The record is from RNAcentral.
UACGGGGGGGGCAAGCGUUGUUCGGAAUUACUGGGCGUAAAGGGCUCGUAGGCGGCCAACUAAGUCAGACGCGAAAUCCCUCGGCUUAACCGGGGAACUGCGUCUGAUACUGGAUGGCUUGAAUCCAGGAGAGGGAUGCGGAAUUCCAGGUGUAGCGGUGAAAUGCGUAGAUAUCUGGAGGAACACCGGUGGCGAAGGCGGCAUCCUGGACCGGCAUUGACGCUGAGGAGCGAAAGCCAGGGGAGCAAACGGG